RNAcentral lists this long non-coding RNA (247 nucleotides) under Setaria italica (foxtail millet). RNAcentral describes it as "long non-coding RNA (SITA_LNC006484)". The record is from RNAcentral. Lineage: Eukaryota; Viridiplantae; Streptophyta; Magnoliopsida; Poales; Poaceae.
CCCCCCCCCCCCCCCCCCCUCUCUCUCUCUCUCUCUCUCUCUCUCUGGCGCUAGGAUUUGGCGCCGCCGCCCUCUCCGAGGUCCAAGGCCCCUCCCACCGCCAGAUCCAGUGCCUGCGGAGGCUGUGGGACGCUCGCGAGGCGGUGCGGCGCGGCAGGCGGUCGGGGGGCGGUGCGGCCAGUUCGCGGGGCAACCGACCGGAGGAGAGAAGAAAGAGGGCGGCGGCGGGUCUGGUGCUGCGGGCUUG